Molecule: ribosomal RNA, 403 nt
Filed under: Fusobacteriota bacterium
Lineage: Bacteria; Fusobacteriati; Fusobacteriota
Description: Fusobacteria bacterium partial 16S ribosomal RNA
Rfam family: Bacterial small subunit ribosomal RNA
Source: RNAcentral
UGGGGAAUUUUGCACAAUGGAGGAAACUCUGAUGCAGCGACGCCGCGUGAGUGAUGAAGAUCUUCGGAUUGUAAAACUCUGUCCUUAGUGAAGAUAAUGACAGUAACUAAGAAGCAAGCCCUGGCUAAAUACGUGCCAGCAGCCGCGGUAAUACGUAUGGGGCAAGCGUUGUCCGGAAUUAUUGGGCGUAAAGGGUUCGCAGGCGGAAAUGCAAGUCAGGUGUAAAAGGCAGUAGCUUAACUACUGUAAGCAUUUGAAACUGCAUAUCUUGAGAAGAGUAGAGGUAAGUGGAAUUUUUAGUGUAGCGGUGAAAUGCGUAGAUAUUAAAAAGAAUACCGGUGGCGAAGGCGACUUACUGGGCUCAUUCUGACGCUGAGGAACGAAAGCGUGGGUAGCAAACAGG